Molecule: long non-coding RNA, 312 nt
Filed under: Manacus vitellinus (golden-collared manakin)
Lineage: Eukaryota; Metazoa; Chordata; Aves; Passeriformes; Pipridae
Description: lncRNA (ENSMVIG00005005064.1)
Source: RNAcentral
AAUAAUAUGGGACUGACUUUGACAAAGGAAGAGGAAACACAGAUGCUACUUAACAUGUGAGCAAGUAAUGAAUAAGGAGAGAAAAGAAUGGAAGUAAUGAGGUCUUGGGUAUGGAGCAAAAAAAGGCAGCUCUCAUGACUUUGGGAUGAGUUUGUACAACUGCUAUUGACUCAUCAGCUUCCAGCUCUGAAAUCAGAUCUGCUAGGAAGGAAUGAAGAAGGAGUAGAGAGAGAGACCACACUUUGAUCCACUGCCUCCUGAAACAUCACAGCUACCUGAAAUCCUUUCAAUUUCUGUGAAUUAUUUAAAUUU